This 75-nucleotide transfer RNA is filed under the name Lusitaniella coriacea LEGE 07167. RNAcentral's name for it is "tRNA-Leu". It matches the Rfam family "tRNA". From Rfam's summary of the family: Transfer RNA (tRNA) molecules are approximately 80 nucleotides in length. RNAcentral also lists the same sequence under 1 other name. The record is from RNAcentral. Lineage: Bacteria; Bacillati; Cyanobacteriota; Cyanophyceae; Spirulinales; Lusitaniellaceae.
GCUCCUGUAGCCCAACUGGAAAGAGGCGACCGUUUCAGGGACGGUAGGAUGUGAGUUCGAGUCUCACCAGGAGUA